Molecule: long non-coding RNA, 590 nt
Filed under: Heterocephalus glaber (naked mole-rat)
Lineage: Eukaryota; Metazoa; Chordata; Mammalia; Rodentia; Bathyergidae
Description: lncRNA (ENSHGLG00000037608.1)
Source: RNAcentral
UCUCCGGAUGGUGAUUUGGGUAGAUUUCUUUAUAUCCUAAUUAACACUGCUCAGUUAGAAGCCUAGUUAGGAAAGGCUAGAUGAUAGACCUUCGCAAGAAAUUUGGGGGUUCUGAUGACGGAAGGACUAAUGUGUCCUUUUACAAGGAAUGCACAGGAAAGUGACAAAGCCACGAGUUUCCUCUGGCCCCAGCCUGGUGCGAAAGCAGGAAAAGCUCAGCCAUCAGGGAUGCCUUUGGAAUACGAUGAGGUAAAUGCCUAUCACAAAAUCGUGUUCCCCAAGCUCCAGGCUUUGCACUCCAGAGGAGCUCUGUGGUUUCUAAGAGCCAACUGGUGGAUCACAGGAACCGCAGAAUGUCAUCGAUUCUAUCAAGAAGUAAAACUUAAAUGACAUGCAGAUGGAGCACUCUGGACUCUUACCAAUUUCCACUACAAACAUAUAGUUGGCCUCAAUGGUGAAUCUGAAGAUUGUCUGUGGAAUGGAAACUGGAGAUUUUGACAAUAAAUUGUUCAUGAAUGGAUUCUAAAAAAUCCACCAAUAUUCAAAAUAAUCAUUUGUGAGUGCUAAAAGUUACACAUACGCAAAUAUAG